GAUGAAGAACGUAGCGAAAUGCGAUACGUAAUGUGAAUUGCAGAAUUCAGUGAAUCAUCGAGUCAUUGAACGCACAUUGCGCCCCCUGGUAUUCCGGGGGGCAUGCCUGUCCGAGCGUCAUUGCUGCCCUCAAGCACGGCUUGUGUGUUGGGCCUCCGUCCUCCUCCCGGGGGACGGGCCCGAAAGGCAGCGGCGGCACCGCGUCCGGUCCUCGAGCGUAUGGGGCUUCGUCACCCGCUCUUGUAGGCCCGGCCGGCGCUUGCCGACACAUCAAUCUUUUUUCCAGGUUGACCUCGGAUCAGGUAGGGAUACCCGCUGAACUUAAGCAUAUCAAUAAGCGGAGGA
This 345-nucleotide unclassified non-coding RNA is filed under the name soil metagenome. Its description in RNAcentral is "partial contains 5.8S ribosomal RNA, internal transcribed spacer 2, and large subunit ribosomal RNA". The stretch from base 1 to 120 matches the Rfam family "5.8S ribosomal RNA", at positions 35 to 154 of the family's 154-position model. The record is from RNAcentral.